This 349-nucleotide unclassified non-coding RNA is filed under the name soil metagenome. RNAcentral describes it as "partial contains 5.8S ribosomal RNA, internal transcribed spacer 2, and large subunit ribosomal RNA". The stretch from base 1 to 120 matches the Rfam family "5.8S ribosomal RNA", at positions 35 to 154 of the family's 154-position model. The record is from RNAcentral.
GAUGAAGAACGCAGCGAAAUGCGAUAACUAAUGUGAAUUGCAGAAUUCCGUGAAUCAUCGAGUCUUUGAACGCACAUUGCGCCCCCUGGUAUUCCGGGGGGCAUGCCUGUCCGAGCGUCAUUGCUGCCCAUCAAGCACGGCUUGUGUGUUGGGUCCUCGUCCCCCCCGGGGGACGUGCCCGAAAGGCAGCGGCGGCACCGCGUCCGGUCCUCGAGCGUAUGGGGCUUUGUCACCCGCUCUGCAGGCCCGGCCGGCGCUGGCCGACGCGAAAGCAACCAUUUUUUCUCCAGGUUGACCUCGGAUCGGGUAGGGAUACCCGCUGAACUUAAGCAUAUCAAUAAGCGGAGGA